Molecule: long non-coding RNA, 734 nt
Filed under: Homo sapiens (human)
Lineage: Eukaryota; Metazoa; Chordata; Mammalia; Primates; Hominidae
Description: HSALNT0364166
Source: RNAcentral
AGCUAUUCCAUGGCUUUUCGUGUGGACAAAUCGGGAGGUGGUGUAAACUGGUUUUUGGUGAAAUUCGGCUCGGCCUCAUGCGAACCUAUCUAGGUCCGUCUCUGGAGUGGCCUGUCAUCGAUCGCGCCCUCCAUCGCUGAGCGACACAAGUGGAACCCCCCAGGACUGCAUUCUGCGAAACUACCCUGCUUUUCCCCCAGUUUUGGUCUGUGAACACAUUUGGGAAAUUCUUCUGAUCCUACCGCUACUCUCUUGAGAUGAAGAAACAGCUCAGAUUUGACCAAGAUCACACAAGUAGGAGUUGAGGAAUUGGAACCCACUAUGACUGACUCCAAAUUAAUAUAGUGUUUAUAGCCACUUACAUAAUAAUGAGGGUGUUGCUAUGCUUUCCUCUGUACAAGCUGGUGGUGUAUCAAUUCGUUCUUCCUUAACUUUGGGACUGUCACAGGGUUCCUGCAAUUCGUUUUUGACAAUGUUCAACAUAAUAUUCAAGGGGUUUUCAACUGGUGUCUUGCUGGGAGAUGGUGUACAAUCAAAUGAAGAUGUCUACAAAAUGAAAGGCCCUAUGAGUACUGAUGAAAGUUCAAAAUUCUCACAUUAAAUAACAUUUAGUCUUGUAAGACCCUUGUAUGAACAAGAGAACACACAUACAACCAAAUGCAAAUGAAACACCUGCCUCCCAACAAAAUGUGCCAUAAAGACAACCAGAAAUAAAAUAUAUAUUGCACGUUCAA